UUUACAGACUUAUUCCCAGAAUGAGGAUUUUUAUUGGACAUUUAUUGAUACUGACAUGCCUAACAGGUGUCUGUUUGGCUCAACAACUCUUGCAGUCAGAUCCUGCCGUGGUGAAGCCUGGGAGCUCCUAUACACUGACAUGUAAAGGUUCUGGAUUCUCUGUUGGCGGCUACUGGAUGCAUUGGGUCAGACAGACCCCCGGAAAAGAACUACAAUGGUUGUGUCGCAUACACAGUACAAACACACACUACGCAGAUG
Rana temporaria (common frog) is the source of this 258-nucleotide long non-coding RNA. RefSeq lists it as uncharacterized. NCBI's taxonomy places the organism in Eukaryota, Metazoa, Chordata, Amphibia, Anura, Ranidae. The transcript is spliced from 2 exons. The record is from RefSeq and is a predicted model, not a curated record.